UGGGGGAGGGUGUAGAGGCU
RNAcentral lists this microRNA (20 nucleotides) under Mus musculus (house mouse). RNAcentral describes it as "mmu-miR-6971-5p". Lineage: Eukaryota; Metazoa; Chordata; Mammalia; Rodentia; Muridae. The record is from miRBase by way of RNAcentral.